CAUCACUACGCUAGAUGCAUAUCAAUAAGCGGAGGAAAAGAAACUAACAAGGAUUCCCCUAGUAACGGCGAGUGAAGCGGGAAGAGCUCAAAUUUGAAAUCUUAAAGGGUUUCCCUUUACGAAUUGUAGUUUAAAGAAGUGUUUUCUGUUGAGGUUUUGGUAAAAGUUCUUUGGAAUAGGACAUCAUAGAGGGUGAGAAUCCCGUAUUUGACCUUUACUUUCAACUUUGUGAUACACUUUCAAAGAGUCGGAUUGUUUGGGAAUGCAGUCCAAAAUGGGUGGUAAUUUCAUCUAAAGCUAAAUAUUGGCGAGAGACCGAUAGCGAACAAGUACCGUGAGGGAGAGAUGAAAAGAACUUUGAAAAGAGAGUUAAACAGUACGUGAAAUUGUCAAAAGGGAAGCGUUUGACACCAGUGUUGUUUUUCUGAAAAUCAAUUAAAGAACUGUUUAUGCUAAGUUGUUUAGACUUUAUCAGCUAACUGUUUAGUUUUGAGCUUUUCUUUAAUGCACUUUUCAGUUAACAAGUCAACAUCAAUUUCUUUUGCUGUAAAAAAGCUUGAGGAAGGUGGCUUGAGAUUCGUCUUAAGUGUUUAUAGCCUCUUGCCUAUGCAGUCGGAGAGAUUGAGGUCUGCAGCGUAGAUCCUUCGGGGCUAAAUGCAUUUGUGCUAAGUUAUAGCAUUUUAUAGACAACUUGUUGACUUAUGAUUUGUCUUGUAGCUUACUCGCUUAUGUUAUUUUACCUACGCUUAGGAUGUUGACGCAUGAGAUAUACGC
RNAcentral lists this ribosomal RNA (774 nucleotides) under uncultured Neocallimastigales. Its description in RNAcentral is "partial large subunit ribosomal RNA". It matches the Rfam family "Eukaryotic large subunit ribosomal RNA", at positions 20 to 647 of the family's 3401-position model. Lineage: Eukaryota; Fungi; Neocallimastigomycota; Neocallimastigomycetes; Neocallimastigales. The record is from RNAcentral.